RNAcentral lists this microRNA (22 nucleotides) under Schistosoma japonicum. Its description in RNAcentral is "miRNA-3134". Lineage: Eukaryota; Metazoa; Platyhelminthes; Trematoda; Strigeidida; Schistosomatidae. The record is from RNAcentral.
AGGCGCAUGGUUGGCUGCAUUU